RNAcentral lists this ribosomal RNA (497 nucleotides) under uncultured bacterium. RNAcentral's name for it is "partial 16S ribosomal RNA". It matches the Rfam family "Bacterial small subunit ribosomal RNA", at positions 28 to 507 of the family's 1533-position model. The record is from RNAcentral.
GAUGAACGCUGGCGGCGUGCCUAAUACAUGCAAGUCGAGCGAACGGACGAGAAGCUUGCUUCUCUGAUGUUAGCGGCGGACGGGUGAGUAACACGUGGAUAACCUACCUAUAAGACUGGGAUAACUUCGGGAAACCGGAGCUAAUACCGGAUGAUAUUUUGAACCGCAUGGUUCAAAAGUGAAAGACGGUCUUGCUGUCACUUAUAGAUGGAUCCGCGCUGCAUUAGCUAGUUGGUAAGGUAACGGCUUACCAAGGCAACGAUGCAUAGCCGACCUGAGAGGGUGAUCGGCCACCCGGGAGCUGAGACACGGUCCAGACGCCUACGGGAGGCAGCAGUAGGGAAUCGUCCGCAAUGGGCGAAAGCCUGACGGAGCAACGCCGCGUGAGUGAUGAAGGUCUUCGGAUCGUAAAGCUCUGUUAUUAGGUAAGAACAUAUGUGUAAGUAACUGUGCACAUCUUGACGGUACCUGAUCAAGAAGCCACGGCUAACUACGUG